UACAGAGGUGGCAAGCGUUGUUCGGAAUUACUGGGCGUAAAGGGCGCGUAGGCGGCCAUCUAAGUCAGACGUGAAAUCCCCCGGCUUAACCUGGGAACUGCGUCUGAUACUGGACGGCUUGAGUAUGGGAGAGGGAUGUAGAAUUCCAGGUGUAGCGGUGAAAUGCGUAGAUAUCUGGAGGAAUACCGGUGGCGAAGGCGGCAUCCUGGACCGAGAUUGACGCUGAGGCGCGAAAGCCAGGGGAGCAAACGGG
Molecule: ribosomal RNA, 253 nt
Filed under: uncultured bacterium
Lineage: Bacteria
Description: partial 16S ribosomal RNA
Rfam family: Bacterial small subunit ribosomal RNA
Source: RNAcentral